UACUGUUACAAACAGUCUAGAAGGAAAAACUCCUUUAUGUUCUAAUACAUUUUAAUCACAAUAAGCAUGUUGAGUUUUUCUUCUUACUUCUACGAGAAAUGAUCCAGUCUUCGCAAAGCUUUCUUCCAGUGUUUAAGAGAGUUUCCCUGAAUGUGCACAUGAAUCGCUAUCUCUUUACAUGUAUCCUUUACAGCUGAAAUCCUGUCUUGGAAUCUAAUCUUAUUCCUUUCCCGCCACAGACAGUACACUAACA
Molecule: long non-coding RNA, 253 nt
Filed under: Nicotiana benthamiana
Lineage: Eukaryota; Viridiplantae; Streptophyta; Magnoliopsida; Solanales; Solanaceae
Description: long non-coding RNA (NBEN_LNC032748)
Source: RNAcentral